Otolemur garnettii (small-eared galago) is the source of this 125-nucleotide small nuclear RNA. The record is from Ensembl. Lineage: Eukaryota; Metazoa; Chordata; Mammalia; Primates; Galagidae.
ACCAUUGUUUUCUUGGAGUUGUGUGCUGUUCCAUGAGCGCACAGUGAGGGCAGUGCUGCUAACACCUACGUAACCUGCUUACAUCAACUAGAGCUUUGCGUUAUAUUGGUACAAUUUUUGGAAAA